GCCAGGCACAGUAGUGCAUGCCUGUAGUCCCAGCUACUUGUGAGGCUGAGGUGGGAGGAUUGCUUGAGCCCAGGAGUUCUGGGCUGUAGUGCGCUAUGCCAAUUGGGUAUCCACACUAAGUUUAGCAUCAAUAUGGUAAUCUCCUGGGAGCGGGAAACCACAAGGUUGCCUAAGGAGGGGUGAACCGGCCCAGGUUGGAAACGGAGCAGGUCAAAACUCCCGUGCUGAUCAGUAGUGGGAUCAUGCCUGUGAAUAGCCACUGCAUUCCAGCCUGGGCAACAUAGAGAGGACCCAACACU
This 299-nucleotide signal recognition particle RNA is filed under the name Aotus nancymaae (Ma's night monkey). RNAcentral's name for it is "Metazoan signal recognition particle RNA (ENSANAG00000011260.1)". It matches the Rfam family "Metazoan signal recognition particle RNA". Rfam says of the family: The signal recognition particle (SRP) is a universally conserved ribonucleoprotein. It is involved in the co-translational targeting of proteins to membranes. The record is from RNAcentral. Lineage: Eukaryota; Metazoa; Chordata; Mammalia; Primates; Aotidae.